Molecule: non-coding RNA, 184 nt
Filed under: bacterium
Lineage: Bacteria
Description: 6S RNA
Rfam family: 6S / SsrS RNA
About the family: E. coli 6S RNA was the first non coding RNA to be sequenced, but its function was unknown until recently. It consists of 184 nucleotides that fold into an extended hairpin structure with a large single-stranded internal bulge. The 6S RNA specifically associates with RNA polymerase holoenzyme containing the sigma70 specificity factor.
Source: RNAcentral
AUUUCCCUGCGGUGUCCGUAUCGAUUGGAUCAUUUUUGAGCCAACACCUGUUCACUUAGGGCCUAAACCUUCGGGCGCGGUGUGCAUGCCUCCCUUAAUUGGGGGGAAGCCUUAACCGUCUGAGGCGGCACCAUUUUUUGAAUAGGUUCAAAGUGUCCUUUCGACCGGCACAGGCGGGGAAUUU